Long non-coding RNA from Tyto alba (common barn owl), 3497 nucleotides. RefSeq lists it as uncharacterized. Lineage: Eukaryota; Metazoa; Chordata; Aves; Strigiformes; Tytonidae. The record is from RefSeq and is a predicted model, not a curated record. The transcript has 2 exons.
AUGGGACCGAGACCUCUGUAUCACAGAAGACUCUGCAGUUUGUCCUGCCCAUCGAGCCUGGAGAUCUUUUGACCAUCUACUUUCUGUGCCAGUACACGUCCUGUGGCACACUGUGAACAUUAAGGAUCACAGGGCACAUCCUACAUCUCGGUUGCUUCUCAGCACCUAAAAUGCCAGAAUAGGGAACAACCCUAUGGGUAACAAAUUGACUAGUUCUACUGAACAUAAAGUUAAGGAUUUCUUUCUCCUUUGACAAAUUGGCUGUGGCAAAAACCACAACCGUGCUCUACGCAAAAAGCACUUGGAGAUGGGAGAAAAGCACUGGUCUGUGGCGCCAGGCAGCUGCAGCCCAUGGGGAUGCUCAGGAGCGGUAACUUGGCUUCCGAGUGUGGAACUGGAGCUCGAGUCCACAGGUCAGUUAGAAUCAACUGCAGCUUCCCUCAGCUUUUCAGACAGAGCAGCGUGCAUGAUGCAUGUCUGGGGAAGUAUCUCAUCUAAGCUGAGAGAGAAAUAAUUCAAAGUCCAAACUUUAGUCUACCUUACAAUAUAUGCAAGGAAGAGACAUCAUAUACAGAAGGCUUGUUUAUUAUUUAUAUGGUGCCUUAGCUACGCAUCACACUUCACAGGCAAAUCCAGACAAUCUUUGCCCCAAGGAGCUUACAAGCUAAAUUAAAUUAAAACCAGCCAAAAUGACAGCGUAUCCAUAGUUAUGGAAAGAACACAAGGUAUGUAGAGAAAAUCACUGCUGUUUGGGGAAGAAAUAGAUUUUUGUGCAUAAUCUAUAUUUACUUCAUUUUCCAUAUCCUGUUUGUGACUGCUAUGCUAAUGAAAUACAGAAGCUGACAUACCUGUCCCGUGAACACUGUAAGAUAUUGUCGCCUACAUUUCCUUACAGGUAAAUGUAUCAGUAAAAUUACAAAAUCAUAGACUACAUAACAUCUGUGAAUCAAAACUAUUAGGCACGGGUAAAAAUGGCAUUUAGCUUUUCCAUGUGAAAAUGCUGCAUCAUUUGCAGUGUGUAACCAUUGGUUAAUUGUGUGCUCAAGAUUUUCCAAAAUGCGUGGCAGAUGCACAUAAGAACAAGAUACUGUUUGAACAUUUCUCAUUUUGGAAAUGUGCAAAUUAAUCUAGCCUGCAGACUGCACUGACCUUUUCGUUUAUGUUUUUUUAAUAUAUGGAUGAAAAUAAAAGCCAGACUUCCCAAAACAAGCUACAAAUGCAACUGUAAGCAAAGCAGUUUUAGUGUCUUUUACAAUACAUUGUUUUAUGCUUUGUGAUAACGAAAGAAAUUAUCUUAGAAUCUACAGGAUAUAUUCAUAGUAUCAGCUGAUAAUUAUAUAUAAUUUAUAUAUUAAAAUAUAUAAAGAAACAGCACAGAAUGAGAUUGUGUUCUUGCUGCACUUGAUAUACAUAAAUUACAUCAAUUUUAAAAAAAGAAAUCAAAAAUAAUUUUAUGGAGCCUUCUCUCUUCCAAAUAUCGUCAAGUUUAAAAAAAAAUCUGGACUACUGGCUGGACAUUAAGUGGUCUGAAAAAGGGACUGAUAUUUGGAGCAUAAUAUUCCACCCCCUGCAACUGCUCUUAGUUUUCCCAUGUGUGUCUCUGUCCCCAGUUGAUCAUGACUUUCUAAUAAAAUGUGUCUGAGGGAGGCCUGCAUUAUUAUGUGCUGUCAUUCCUGGGUUUUGAAAAAUUACCAUCUUUGCAUUAUUAGACUUUUUGCAGAGUUUUGUUUGUCACAGGGUUUUAGUUUUAGUCCCAGUGGUGGGUGAAGUUCUUUUUUGGAUACAGGAAAGACCUUCAGUCUUCUGACAUCCUAAAGACACUAGGUAUUUGGACAACAUCCAAAGGUUGGUGGGUUUUUUUCUUCACUGCAAACGCAUCUCUCCCCAGUCAGCUCUUCCUGGCAGGGCAUUACCUGGCUACAACUGGAGUCAGCAGUUCUACUAAAACAGCCAAGCUCCAGCCUCUCCAACCCCACUCUUGCACAGCUUCUAUGAAGGGAGGUUUAGCACAACCUGAGGGACAGGAGUGUAGAUGCAAAUGACGUGGCUCAGGCUGGUCCUCAGUUUAAGAGACCAUUAGGAAUGCGCGAUUAUGGUGAACUGUGGUGUUUGCUACUGAAAUUCCUAACUAGUAACCUUUGAGACUAGUAUGUUAGAAAACCUGGCCUUUUAAUUAAGGAAAGUAUUAGUUGCAAGCUGCUGACUUGAUGCAUUAUGCCUAAAUUCAGUUUCUGCAUUUAUAUGGCAGCGUAAAGGGAUUUCAUUAAGUUGCAACUAAAGACCACUGUCCAUCCUCCUUCAGUCCUUUGCCUGGAUCCACACUCUCCUCUGCACUAUGCUCAGUGAGCAGCUGCUGUAGCUCAGGCUCAGUGAGGGAAACAAGAUGGAUAUAAUACAAACAUGGACACUAUUUCCACAAGAAGACAUUGUGCUUUUUUUCUUCAAAUAACUGCUAAAGCUCCUACUGAAAACAGUACACACAGCAUGUUUGCUUCAUGCUUUGAGCACCACCUUAGCUUAAGUACAUAGGAUCUCUCAGAGAGUCCUUUAUUACCUUAGUGACGAAAAAAAUCUAUUUCUUAAGCACUGUAUGUGAAUGACUAAGCAGCCCAAGUUCUCAUUUUCUUCUUUCCAGAAAGUUUAUAUCCCCAAAUGUAAAGGUCCAGAAUGCCCCAAGAAUAGAUCCUACUUCUAAAUUUUUCAGUUAGAUGUGAAGUGUGGCUCAUUAGUGGGAAUUUGACCGCCUAUCAUAACAGGAAAAAAAAAAGGGGGGACAGAGGGUAGUAGGUAGCAGGAGCAUGAAAAACUGUCCUUCGUGCUUGCUUCCAAAACUUUGAAGAUGGUAGAGUGGGUAGUCUACAGGUCUUCUGCAUCUUUAUGUGAGUACAGUUCACUUAGUUUCUCAAACUUUGGUCCCCACACCCUAUACCCUCAGCCUGCCAGCACCCCAGCCUUCCCCUUGGGUGCUGAGCCCUCGGUGAGCCUUGGGGCCCGGCGCCGGGGUGACGGCCUGCAACAGCGGGCAAGUGCUGACCCAAGCCCGGGCUAGUGAAAGGGCUUCUGUAGGCGCUGAUGGUUUGGUCUGCUCCUGCGAGCUCUGGGACACGUCGCUAAAGAAACUGCUCAGUUUUGUGGGGUUUUCUUUCUUCUUGUAGAGGGAAUAGACUGGGCUGGUUUGAAUAGACACCUGGAGUUCUGCCAUGUUGUAUGCAUCCUGGAGUGAGAAACCAUUCAUGUUAAAUUAAUAUCCUCUGUAGGUCUCAAAAUUUCACGUUCUAGUGGAAAUAACGAAAGAACAAUCCCGAGGCGGUCCAUCUGGUGUGAAUGUGAAGGAUGUGCUUGUUCAACCAACUCUGCCACCUUAAGAAAGCCAAAGCCUGCUAAGCAGAUGAGGAUGCAUGAGGAGCACCUGUGCAGCCUGCACUACUAUAGCUAUGUUCAAAAUCAAGUCUAAUUCCAUAUUAGAAGCUAAAUAAAAAUGACAGAAAUGCCCCAAA